RNAcentral lists this ribosomal RNA (463 nucleotides) under uncultured Glomus. RNAcentral describes it as "SSU rRNA". It matches the Rfam family "Eukaryotic small subunit ribosomal RNA", at positions 569 to 1039 of the family's 1831-position model. The record is from RNAcentral. Lineage: Eukaryota; Fungi; Glomeromycota; Glomeromycetes; Glomerales; Glomeraceae.
AGCAGCCGCGGUAAUUCCAACUCCAAUAGCGUAUAUUAAAGUUGUUGCAGUUAAAAAGCUCGUAGUUGAAUUUCGGGACUAAUAUGUCGGUCGUACUUUGUACGUACUAGCAUUAUUGGUUUCUCCCUUCUGACGAACCACAAUGUCAUUAAUUUGGUGUCAUGGGAAAUCAGGACUGUUACUUUGAAAAAUUAGAGUGUUUAAAGCAAGCUCGCGCUUGAAUACAUUAGCAUGGAAUAAUGAAAUAGGACGUUUGAUUCUAUUUUGUUGGUUUCUAGGAUCGACGUAAUGAUUAAUAGGGAUAGUUGGGGGCAUUAGUAUUCAAUUGUCAGAGGUGAAAUUCUUGGAUUUAUUGAAGACUAACUACUGCGAAAGCAUUUGCCAAGGAUGUUUUCAUUAAUCAAGAACGAAAGUUAGGGGAUCGAAGACGAUCAGAUACCGUCGUAGUCUUAACCAUAAACUA